UGGGGAAUAUUGCACAAUGGGCGAAAGCCUGAUGCAGCAACGCCGCGUGAGUGAUGAAGGCCUUCGGGUUGUAAAUCUCUGUCUUCUGGGACGAUAAUGACGGUACCAGAGGAGGAAGCCACGGCUAACUACGUGCCAGCAGCCGCGGUAAUACGUAGGUGGCAAGCGUUGUCCGGAUUUACUGGGCGUAAAGGAUGCGUAGGCGGAUACUUAAGUCAGAUGUGAAAAUCCCGGGCUUAACUUGGGAACUGCAUUUGAAACUGGGUAUCUAGAGUGCGGGAGAGGAGAGUGGAAUUCCUAGUGUAGCGGUGAAAUGCGUAGAGGUUAGGAAGAACACCAGUGGCGAAGGCGACUUUCUGGACCGUAACUGACGCUGAGGCAUGAAAGCGUGGGGAGCAAACA
Molecule: ribosomal RNA, 402 nt
Filed under: uncultured bacterium
Lineage: Bacteria
Description: bacterial SSU rRNA
Rfam family: Bacterial small subunit ribosomal RNA
Source: RNAcentral